GAUGAACGCUGGCGGCGUGCCUAAUACAUGCAAGUCGAGCGAACAGACGAGGAGCUUGCUCCUCUGACGUUAGCGGCGGACGGGCGAGUAACACGUGGAUAACCUACCUAUAAGACUGGGAUAACUUCGGGAAACCGGAGCUAAUACCGGAUAAUAUAUUGAACCUCAUGGUUCAAUAGUGAAAGACGGUUUUGCUGUCACUUAUAGAUGGAUCCGCGCCGCAUUAGCUAGUUGGUAAGGUAACGGCUUACCAAGGCAACGAUGCGUAGCCGACCUGAGAGGGUGAUCGGCCACACUGGAACUGAGACACGGUCCAGACUCCUACGGGAGGCAGCAGUAGGGAAUCUUCCGCAAUGGGCGAAAGCCUGACGGAGCAACGCCGCGUGAGUGAUGAAGGUCUUCGGAUCGUAAAACUCUGUUAUUAGGGAAGAACAAAUGUGUAAGUAACUAUGCACGUCUUGACGGUACCUAAUCAGAAAGCCACGGCUAACUACGUG
This 497-nucleotide ribosomal RNA is filed under the name uncultured bacterium. RNAcentral's name for it is "partial 16S ribosomal RNA". It matches the Rfam family "Bacterial small subunit ribosomal RNA", at positions 28 to 507 of the family's 1533-position model. The record is from RNAcentral.